UCCCCCAAGAGUCCACAUCGACGGGGAGGUUUGGCACCUCGAUGUCGGCUCAUCGCAUCCUGGGGCUGUAGUCGGUCCCAAGGGUUGGGCUGUUCGCCCAUUAAAGCGGUACGCGAGCUGGGUUCAGAACGUCGUGAGACAGUUCGGUCCCUAUCCGUCGCGGGCGCAGGAAAUUUGAGAGGAGCUGUCCUUAGUACGAGAGGACCGGGAUGGACGCACCGCUGGUGUACCAGUUGUUCUGCCAAGGGCAUCGCUGGGUAGCUAUGUGCGGACGGGAUAAGUGCUGAAAGCAUCUAAGCAUGAAGCCCCCCUCAAGAUGAGAUUUCCCAUUCCGCAAGGAAGUAAGAUCCCUGAAAGAUGAUCAGGUUGAUAGGUCUGAGGUGGAAGUGUGGCGACACAUGGAGCUGACAGAUACUAAUCGAUCGAGGACUUAACCAUUUU
This 441-nucleotide ribosomal RNA is filed under the name Bacillus siamensis. RNAcentral describes it as "bacterial LSU rRNA". It matches the Rfam family "Bacterial large subunit ribosomal RNA", at positions 2488 to 2925 of the family's 2925-position model. Lineage: Bacteria; Bacillati; Bacillota; Bacilli; Caryophanales; Bacillaceae. The record is from RNAcentral.